CAGAUAUUGCACGGUUGAUCUCUU
Molecule: microRNA, 24 nt
Filed under: Equus caballus (horse)
Lineage: Eukaryota; Metazoa; Chordata; Mammalia; Perissodactyla; Equidae
Also listed under: 1 other name
Description: eca-miR-3958
Source: miRBase by way of RNAcentral